This is an RNA transcript of Nymphaea colorata (pocket water lily), 1375 nucleotides long. RefSeq lists it as uncharacterized. The record is from RefSeq and is a predicted model, not a curated record. Lineage: Eukaryota; Viridiplantae; Streptophyta; Magnoliopsida; Nymphaeales; Nymphaeaceae. The transcript is spliced from 9 exons.
CUUUUUUUUGCCCUUGCCCGUGGAGAAGGCUCGUCUUCCUCUCACAGAAGAUCUCCCGCAUGCGGCUGCUCAUUCUCGUGCCGCACGUCUGCAUCAGCUCCUCUUCCUCAUCUCUGUCGAGUUAUGACUUGUGACCUAAUUUUGCUGAUGGCGGGUCAAAUUUGUCAUGAGCAAGGGAAGGCUCAAUGAGGCAGCGCAUUGUUGUAGACAGGCUUCAACAGUCGUUGUCUGCCCAAAUUAAUUGUCGUAGAAACAUUUGGGAAUAUGAUGAAGGUCCAUGGUCCAUUACAAGAAUUAUUCUUCAUCAUCACCAACUAGCAACCCAUGCCUUUGCUUCGACAGAUGGGUUCCUCAUAGUUUUGAACCAGGCUGGCUCUUCGACCUCCUCCUUGUCGAUUGAGGCUAUUGCUUUUAAUCCAGUUCUUCCCCUUCCCAUAACAGACAUGUGGAAAAGAAGGUGGGCUGAGAUGUUGCUGUUGUAAGUAAGGCCCAGGAUGAUGAACUAGAAGACAAUACAGUCUCAUAGGCACCCAUGGCGGCAGCAGACCACCACCAGUAGGCGGAGAGGGGUAAGUAGAUUGUCCAUCGGCGAGCUGGCAGCUCAGGUGAUCAAGCCAUACUGUCAAGGGGUCGUCAAGAAUCUGGAUCCUCCACAUGAGGUUGGAGGAUAACUUUUAGAUUCGACCUCAAAGCCGUUAGAUCAUGGUACCGAAAUUCCCCUGCUUUGACUGACUGAUGGUAAGGUAAAAAAAAUUGAUUUUUUUUUUUUCAGAUUUGAGCAUUAUGAAGAUCGAAAUAUCGCCUUGACUGAAGAAGCCAAAGCCUGCAGUAGAGGAAAAGCUCGGGAUUCGCACAUCAGUAGUUCAAAAAUCCUCAAAAUCCAUAGAGCGGUGCGGUUCGUUAAAUUCUUCAAGCAAAAUCUUUUGAUGGCAAUGAUCAUCUACAACUACAAGCUUGAAAGGUUCUCGUCACAGAUUUGAAAUUUAGACGACAGAAACAAGGUACGUACUUUGGCCAAUAAUCUUUUAUUCUUAUAGCAAGAAAUCACAAAAACCUAUAUGAACAUAUGAAUUAAAAGGCAAAGUAGGCUUGCUCUCGGAGAGGAAAUUGUGGGUUUAAUCCUUGUCGCUUAAGCAAAGAAUUGGAACCAACCCUGUUGAACUGAAAUCCGCCACUAAAUUGCGAAACAAAUAGUUUCAUGAUACCAGAAAUCGCAGAAAAUUUCAGGAAAUAUAAAGCGUCAACAGCCAUAGCAUAGAAAUUGAAGCACCAGAUGAGAAAACAUAAGUAUACAGGACCCAUUUGUUUUCGUUUUCAUGUCAGUUCAACGAAAAAAGAAUUGUAUGAGCAGCAAAAGAAAGGGGGGAAAGAAGAU